This 510-nucleotide ribosomal RNA is filed under the name Platycotylus sp. CO1010. Its description in RNAcentral is "partial 16S ribosomal RNA". It matches the Rfam family "Bacterial large subunit ribosomal RNA", at positions 1827 to 2600 of the family's 2925-position model. Lineage: Eukaryota; Metazoa; Arthropoda; Insecta; Coleoptera; Tenebrionidae. The record is from RNAcentral.
CUCUUUUUGAAAAUUAUUUAAGGUCUGACCUGCCCUAUGAUUUUUUAAAUGGCCGCAGUAUUUUGACUGUGCAAAGGUAGCAUAAUCAUUAGUUUCUUAAUUAGAAGCUGGAAUGAAUGGUUUUAUGAAAAACUAACUGUCUCUAAUUUAAUGUUUUAGAAUUUUAUUUUUGAGUGAGAAAGCUUAAAUUUUAUGGAAAGACGAGAAGACCCUAUAGAGUUUUAUUUAGUUUAAUUUUAUUUUUGGUUGGGUUUUUACUUAUUUAAUAUUGAUCUGAAUUUUACUGGGGUGGUAUAAAAAUUUAUUAAACUUUUUAUUUUAAAAACAUUGAUUUUUGGUUAUUUGAUCCUUUAUUUUGGAUUGUAAGAUUAAAUUACCUUAGGGAUAACAGCGUAAUUUUUUCUUAAAGUUCUUAUUGUUGAAAAAGUUUGCGACCUCGAUGUUGGAUUAAAAUUUAUUUUUGGUGCAGAAGCUGAAAUUUUGAGUCUGUUCGACUCUUAAAAUUUUACA